UAGGGAAUAUUGGGCAAUGGACGGAAGUCUGACCCAGCCAUGCCGCGUGCAGGAAGAAGGCGCUCAGCGUUGUAAACUGCUUUUAUCGGGGAAGAACGGCAGUUCUGCGGGAUUGUGUGACGGUACUCGAGGAAUAAGCACCGGCUAACUCCGUGCCAGCAGCCGCGGUAAUACGGAGGGUGCGAGCGUUGUCCGGAUUUAUUGGGUUUAAAGGGUGCGUAGGUGGUUGGGUAAGUCAGGUUUGAAAGUCAGUCGCUUAACGAUUGAGCGUGGCUUGAUACUGGUGAGCUUGAGUGCACGAGAGGUAGGUGGAACGUGUUGUGUAGCGGUGAAAUGCAUAGAUAUGGCCCAGAACCCCAAUUGCGAAGGCAGCCUACUACGGUGUGACUGACGCUGAGGCACGAGAGCAUGGGGAGCAAACA
Molecule: ribosomal RNA, 422 nt
Filed under: uncultured bacterium
Lineage: Bacteria
Description: bacterial SSU rRNA
Rfam family: Bacterial small subunit ribosomal RNA
Source: RNAcentral